UGAAAAGAAACUUUGGAAGAGAGUUAAAAGCACGUGAAGCCGUUGAAAGGGAAACGCGCUCGGCUAGCAAUGUGCCACGACGGUUCAGCCGUCUUGGGCGGCGAGGUGGCGGCUGUUGGAUCCGAAUGGACCGCUGUUGUCAUCGUCGUCGUCCGAGAUGCGGUGCACUCUUUCGUGGUACGCGUCAGCGUCGGUUUGCGGCGGGCGACAAGGCUCUGCGGAAGGUAGCUCGGAGCUUGCUUCGAGUGUUAUAGACGUAGAUGCUGGGUCCGCCGCAGACCGAGGAGAGAGAGUAUCGUUGCAGCGCAUGCCGCAAGGCUAGCUACCUGUUGUCCGGCACGCUUCACGAACUGAGGACUGCACGCAGUGCUUGGGUCGGCGGAGUGGUCUGAUGGUGGUGUGGUAUAAAUGCGCUCAGGACGCUGGCGUCCAAAUGGCCGUGCGCGACCCGUCUUGAAAACAC
This 463-nucleotide ribosomal RNA is filed under the name Borojevia cerebrum. Its description in RNAcentral is "eukaryotic LSU rRNA". The record is from RNAcentral. Lineage: Eukaryota; Metazoa; Porifera; Calcarea; Clathrinida; Clathrinidae.